AGCGCGAAGAAGGCGGCCAUGAGCCCGUUGCAGGCCCGCCACAGGGCCGGCGCCAUGGGUCGGACAGCGCGGCGCGGGGCGGUGAGGUGUGGUCAGCUAUUCCAGAAUGUGGCAGGGGUGGAGGCUGGACAAAGUCUGAAACAGGGUCAUCACCAUAGCACCUGACAUACCUGGAUAUAAACAAUAUCCAAGGCCCCUAAGGUAAAAGCCAUGCUCCAAGUCCCCUUCUGACUUCUAGUCACUUCCUUGCUGCCAGCAGAGGGCAUGGGAUUCUUCCUGAGGAGCCUGAGUCUCAGCUUUGCCAGGUCCUUGCUGUGUGACCUUGGGCACCUGUGCUCCCUUGACAAAGAGGAAUAAAACCUCUUCAUACUACUCUCCUUUUGAUUCUCUCCUGGAACAUAUGACCACCAUCAAUUAUAGGCAAGAACAUGAACACGGGAGUCCCAAAGACCUGGGUUCAAAUGUCAGGCCCUUCACUCGCUGGCUGUAGGUGUGAGGCCCUGGGCAAGGUCCUUACCUCCC
This 522-nucleotide non-coding RNA is filed under the name Pongo abelii (Sumatran orangutan). Lineage: Eukaryota; Metazoa; Chordata; Mammalia; Primates; Hominidae. The record is from RNAcentral.